This 58-nucleotide microRNA precursor is filed under the name Sarcophilus harrisii (Tasmanian devil). RNAcentral describes it as "Sha-Mir-7371-P39_pre stem-loop". The record is from RNAcentral. Lineage: Eukaryota; Metazoa; Chordata; Mammalia; Dasyuromorphia; Dasyuridae.
AAUUGUACCCAAUACAACGUUUUAUAAAUAUAAAGAAAGUUGUAUUAUGUACAAUAGU